RNAcentral lists this ribosomal RNA (253 nucleotides) under uncultured bacterium. RNAcentral describes it as "partial 16S ribosomal RNA". It matches the Rfam family "Bacterial small subunit ribosomal RNA", at positions 524 to 777 of the family's 1533-position model. The record is from RNAcentral.
CACGGGGGCGCAAGCGUUAUUCGGAAUUAUUGGGCGUAAAGGGCGCGUAGGCGGUCUUGUCCGUCAGGUGUGAAAGCCCGGGGCUCAACCCCGGAAGUGCACUUGAAACAGCAAGACUUGAAUACGGGAGAGGAAAGCGGAAUUCCUGGUGUAGAGGUGAAAUUCGUAGAUAUCAGGAGGAACACCGAUGGCGAAGGCAGCUUUCUGGACCGAUAUUGACGCUGAGGCGCGAAGGCGUGGGUAGCGAACGGGG